This 275-nucleotide long non-coding RNA is filed under the name Fukomys damarensis (Damara mole-rat). RNAcentral describes it as "lncRNA (ENSFDAG00000029743.1)". The record is from RNAcentral. Lineage: Eukaryota; Metazoa; Chordata; Mammalia; Rodentia; Bathyergidae.
CUGGAAAAACUGUCACAGCCAGAACACUGAUGUAAGGCAAGGCCACAUCCUCUGUCCUGUGAGGCAGGAGAUUAGGGCACGGUGUGACCGAGCAAUCAUGGAGACACAGGAAACAUGUGCCCAAGCCCUGCACCUGGGACCAGUCAGAAAGUGCUGCCUUCAGUUCUUCUCAUGAGAAAUCAAGCAGGUUCUUAAUGAGAUGGCCUAGAUGUGAUAUCUGCUGAGCGGGAAACAAAGAAGAUGGCCACCAGGAAGUUCACGGCCUACUCUUCCAG